This is a long non-coding RNA of Cyprinus carpio (common carp), 732 nucleotides long. The record is from Ensembl. Lineage: Eukaryota; Metazoa; Chordata; Actinopteri; Cypriniformes; Cyprinidae.
UAUGCGUGCGUCCUGUAACUAUGGCGACGACGCACGCGCGACAGAAAACACUCAGCUCCGAAGAUGAGCUGCUCUGAGCAGAACACGGUUAAUAGAAAACGUAAACAAAGAAAAUUUGGAACCAUUUAAAGUGUACUCAACGGCUUGAUACAGUAGUACAGUGGAGUUUUGUUGACUUUGAUGGCGCAAAGGAUGAGCCGUCUUCGUCUUUUCAGCACAAACGGUGCCUCAAGGUGAUCUCAUGUUCUGCAACACCGCACCAGUGUCCCUAAAUUGUUGCCCAUCAUUCCAGGCACUGCCCCAUUGCAAAGUAGUUUGCACUUCAUAUGUGUGGGACAGUCCUCACCCGUCUUGAGGAAGGCUGGCAGAAGCCGCACAUCCAGCCUUUUGGGAACCUGUCCACACACCCAGGCUGUUCUUCCCUGCAUUGCGCUGCACAGACACUCUACAGAUCUUAUCUCCAGACUGCCAAAGGAGCUUGCAGAUAUACAGGUGCAGCACAGGAGUUUUCACACGCUCAUUGACACACAGCAUGGAGUGUAUAAAAGCCCUAAAUCAGGAGACUACAUUGGUUUAGAUGGGACUGUAUUCAUCAGCUCUAUAUUAAGGUUGUGGGACUGGGCCAAUUUGGUGGAAAACACACAUUCCCGAGGGACCGAUGUUACCAUGAGAUCCUACCUGGAACAAUGUGAUCAGCCACAGGGCUGCCUCUCCGCCCCCGUCCAACCCUAG